AACAAGCUUGCUUGUUGGGGUUGUAGGACACUCUAUACGGAGUUACAAAGGACGACAUUAGACGAAUCAUCUGGAAAGAUGAAUCAAAGAAGGUAAUAAUCCUGUAGUCGAAAAUGUUGUCUCUCUUGAGUGGAUCCUGAGUACGACGGAGCACGUGAAAUUCCGUCGGAAUCUGGGAGGACCAUCUCCUAAGGCUAAAUACUCUCUAGUGACCGAUAGUGAACCAGUACCGUGAGGGAAAGGUGAAAAGCACCCCGGAAGGGGAGUGAAAUAGAACCUGAAACCGUGUGCUUACAAGUAGUCAGAGCCCGUUAAUGGGUGAUGGCGUGCCUUUUGUAGAAUGAACCGGCGAGUUACGAUUUGAUGCAAGGUUAAGCAGUAAAUGUGGAGCCGUAGCGAAAGCGAGUCUGAAUAGGGCGUUUAGUAUUUGGUCGUAGACCCGAAACCAGGUGAUCUACCCUUGGUCAGGUUGAAGUUCAGGUAACACUGAAUGGAGGACCGAACCGACUUACGUUGAAAAGUGAGCGGAUGAACUGAGGGUAGCGGAGAAAUUCCAAUCGAACCUGGAGAUAGCUGGUUCUCUCCGAAAUAGCUUUAGGGCUAGCCUCAAGUGAUGAUUAUUGGAGGUAGAGCACUGUUUGGACGAGGGGCCCCUCUCGGGUUACCGAAUUCAGACAAACUCCGAAUGCCAAUUAAUUUAACUUGGGAGUCAGAACAUGGGUGAUAAGGUCCGUGUUCGAAAGGGAAACAGCCCAGACCACCAGCUAAGGUCCCAAAAUAUAUGUUAAGUGGAAAAGGAUGUGGCGUUGCCCAGACAACUAGGAUGUUGGCUUAGAAGCAGCCAUCAUUUAAAGAGUGCGUAAUAGCUCACUAGUCGAGUGACACUGCGCCGAAAAUGUACCGGGGCUAAACAUAUUACCGAAGCUGUGGAUUGUCCUUUGGACAAUGGUAGGAGAGCGUUCUAAGGGCGUUGAAGCAUGAUCGUAAGGACAUGUGGAGCGCUUAGAAGUGAGAAUGCCGGUGUGAGUAGCGAAAGACGGGUGAGAAUCCCGUCCACCGAUUGACUAAGGUUUCCAGAGGAAGGCUCGUCCGCUCUGGGUUAGUCGGGUCCUAAGCUGAGGCCGACAGGCGUAGGCGAUGGAUAACAGGUUGAUAUUCCUGUACCACCUAUAAUCGUUUUAAUCGAUGGGGGGACGCAGUAGGAUAGGCGAAGCGUGCGAUUGGAUUGCACGUCUAAGCAGUAAGGCUGAGUAUUAGGCAAAUCCGGUACUCGUUAAGGCUGAGC
Molecule: ribosomal RNA, 1285 nt
Filed under: Staphylococcus aureus
Lineage: Bacteria; Bacillati; Bacillota; Bacilli; Caryophanales; Staphylococcaceae
Description: partial 23S ribosomal RNA
Rfam family: Bacterial large subunit ribosomal RNA
Source: RNAcentral